AGCGAACGCUGGCGGCAGGCCUAACACAUGCAAGUCGAACGAUCCUUCGGGAUAGUGGCGGACGGGUGAGUAACACGUGGGAACGUGCCUUUUGGUUCGGAACAACUCAGGGAAACUUGAGCUAAUACCGAAUGUGCCCUUCGGGGGAAAGAUUUAUCGCCAUUAGAGCGGCCCGCGUCUGAUUAGCUAGUUGGUGAGGU
This 200-nucleotide ribosomal RNA is filed under the name uncultured bacterium. RNAcentral describes it as "partial 16S ribosomal RNA". It matches the Rfam family "Bacterial small subunit ribosomal RNA", at positions 29 to 258 of the family's 1533-position model. The record is from RNAcentral.